Molecule: ribosomal RNA, 253 nt
Filed under: uncultured bacterium
Lineage: Bacteria
Description: partial 16S ribosomal RNA
Rfam family: Bacterial small subunit ribosomal RNA
Source: RNAcentral
UACGUAGGGUGCGAGCGUUGUCCGGAAUUACUGGGCGUAAAGCGCUCGUAGGUGGUUUGUCGCGUUGUCCGUGAAAACUCACAACUCAAUUGUGGGCGUGCGGGCGAUACGGGCAGACUGGAGUACUGCAGGGGAGACUGGAAUUCCUGGUGUAGCGGUGAAAUGCGCAGAUAUCAGGAGGAACACCGAUGGCGAAGGCAGGUCUCUGGGCAUUAACUGACGCUGAGGAGCGAAAGCAUGGGGAGCGAACAGG